CCUACGGGGGGCUGCAGUGGGGAAUAUUGGACAAUGGGCGAAAGCCUGAUCCAGCCAUGCCGCGUGUGUGAAGAAGGCCUUCGGGUUGUAAAGCACUUUCAGUGGGGAAGAAAGCCUUGGGGCUAAUACCCUCGAGGAAGGACAUCACCCACAGAAGAAGCACCGGCUAACUCCGUGCCAGCAGCCGCGGUAAUACGGAGGGUGCGAGCGUUAAUCGGAAUUACUGGGCGUAAAGCGCGCGUAGGCGGUCUGAUAAGCCGGUUGUGAAAGCCCCGGGCUCAACCUGGGAACGGCAUCCGGAACUGGCAGGCUAGAGUGCAGGAGAGGAAGGUAGAAUUCCCGGUGUAGCGGUGAAAUGCGUAGAGAUCGGGAGGAAUACCAGUGGCGAAGGCGGCCUUCUGGACUUACACUGACGCUGAGGUGCGAAAGCGUGGGUAGCAAACAGGAUUAGAUACCCGAGUAGUC
RNAcentral lists this ribosomal RNA (465 nucleotides) under Vreelandella stevensii. RNAcentral describes it as "partial 16S ribosomal RNA". It matches the Rfam family "Bacterial small subunit ribosomal RNA", at positions 338 to 795 of the family's 1533-position model. The record is from RNAcentral. Lineage: Bacteria; Pseudomonadati; Pseudomonadota; Gammaproteobacteria; Oceanospirillales; Halomonadaceae.